Molecule: unclassified non-coding RNA, 265 nt
Filed under: uncultured fungus
Lineage: Eukaryota; Fungi
Description: partial contains 5.8S ribosomal RNA, internal transcribed spacer 2, and large subunit ribosomal RNA
Source: RNAcentral
AACGCACAUUGCGCCCCCCGGCCCCCGGGGGGCACGCCUGUCCGAGCGCCAUUGCAGACAUCGAGCCGCGGGCUCGCCGUUGGGCCUCGUCCCCCGCGAGUGGGGGGCCGGCCCGGAAAACAUCGGCGCCCCGCCGGGCCCCGAGCGCAACGAGCCGAAGGCCCGCGCCCGGGGACCCACGCGGCGGCCGCCCGCCAUCGCACCGCGCGGGAGACCGCGGAAAAGGGAUGGCCUCGGAUCAGGCGGGGUUACCCGCUGAACUUAA